CCUACGGGAGGCUGCAGUGGGGAAUAUUGGGCAAUGGGCGCAAGCCUGACCCAGCAACGCCGCGUGAGGGAAGAAGGCUUUCGGUUUGUUAACUUCUUUUAUCAGGGACGAAGCAAGUGACGGUACCUGCUGAAUAAGCCACGGAUAACGACGUGCCAGCAGCCGCGGUAAUACGUAGGUGGCGAGCGUUAUCCGGAUUUACUGGGUGUAAAGGGCGGGUAGGCGGGAGGGCAAGUCAGAUGGGAAAACCAUGGGCUCAACCCAUAGCCUGCAUUUGAAACUGCCCGUCUUGAGUGCUGGAGAGGCAAUCGGAAUUCGGUGUGUAGCGGUGAAAUGCGUAGAUAUACGGAGGAACACCAGUGGCGAAGGCGGAGUGCUGGAUAGAAACUGACGCUGAGGCGCGAAAGCGUGGGGAGCGAACAGGAUUAGAUACCCGGGUAGUC
RNAcentral lists this ribosomal RNA (443 nucleotides) under uncultured bacterium. RNAcentral's name for it is "partial 16S ribosomal RNA". It matches the Rfam family "Bacterial small subunit ribosomal RNA", at positions 338 to 795 of the family's 1533-position model. The record is from RNAcentral.